Molecule: long non-coding RNA, 2469 nt
Organism: Aethalodelphis obliquidens (Pacific white-sided dolphin)
Lineage: Eukaryota; Metazoa; Chordata; Mammalia; Artiodactyla; Delphinidae
Exons: 2
Source: RefSeq, a predicted model, not a curated record
CCACGUACUGCGGAAGAAACGGGGGAGGGUUAGAAAGGUCAGCUCAGCACAAGAGGGAGAAACAUGGCCCGUACUCAGGAAGGAUUUACUGAGCACCUACUACGGGCAAAGCAAUGCGGGGCCAACAGGACAGGCCUUCAAAAAUAAAGAUGUCCAAAGGGACUUCUUACCACUUAAUGAACCACUUUCCUACACAUUUUCCAAUAGAAUAGGGGUUGCCAAACUAUGGCCACAGGCCAUAAAUUGAGCCUGGCACCUGUUUUUCUAAAUAAAGUUUUCCUGGAACGCAGCCAUACCCACCCCAUUCUGCACUGUUCCGCUUUCAUGCAACAAUGAGAGGUGAGUGUUCACGACAGAUGGCAUGACCCACAAAACCUAAACAAAACCUGUAUCUCUAGCCCUUGAUGCAAAAUGCCUGCUGACCCUGCAAUGGGCCAUAAGCUCCCCAAAGGGUGUAGCCUAUCUUGCCGAUCCUGGUUUGGCCACUUGCAGGUCACUGGUUUUUGAAGCUCAACAGACCCAGUUCUAAAUCUCUACUCUCCAACUGUAUGGCCUUGGAAAUGUUUUUGACUUCUCUGGAUUUUAAUUUCCUCAGUGAAAGGGAGAUAAUGACAUUCACCCUGCAGCAUCACUACGAUUUGCGCACAAGCACAGGCACGCGCACACACACACACACAUAAACAGCGCAUGCAGAGACUUAAGUGCCGAUGGAAACACUAACAAUAACAGGUGUGGCACAUCGUCUCACUGACCCCCAAAACAGUCCUAUGAGAAGCAAAGUGACUCUCUAGGGUUUCAGGACUCAAGAAGGAUGGUGUGAGGAUGCAAACCCAGGUCUCCUCGUUGAACACCACACUUUUCUCACUAGAACCUGCCAUCUAUCCUUAAAGAGCUAAUAUGCACUUAAGUGACAAAAGUGACACACAUGUAAUAGGCGAGGAAUGACUUCCAGCGACGGAUGUGUCAAGGAGCACCCCCAAAACAAGGUACUGGACUAGCUGCAGCAGAGUUAUGGCCAGAGAGGAGCUGACUGGAAGCACGAGGUGGGGAAGGGUUGGUGGAAGAGGGGCAGUGAGGGCCUCUGAGGAGCAGCCUGGACAGCAUAGAGGAGUCCUGGCAGGUAAUAAUGGAACUCACAGCAAAAAUGAGAGGUGGCCAGGAUGACACCUGACUGAGCUGUCUGGAUUUUAACCAGUUGACAAACAAAAGCCCCUGACUAUCUCUGAGAGGGAGGGGCAACCUGACAAAGCGGUGCUCUGGAGACCCCCCUAAAGUUAGGCUGUCAUCCACCCAGAGACAGGGAUGGUGUGCCCACAGGCGUGAGGCACUGUGAAGAGCAGGCUGCAGGAGCCGGGCCUGGCCGAGGGACGAGGGGACUGUCCUGAAGCCCGUGCUGCAAUCAGGAACUCUGAAGGGCAGGUGUGUAGAUGAAAGGAAGGCCAUCUAGCCACUCAGUGAUGCCAUACUCCAGGCUAUGGCACGAGCAAGGGUUAAGAUGCUGAUCACACACAGCAAGUUAACAUCUCCUGGGCCCCUGAGCCCCUGGGCGCAAAGGAACAACCCCAGGUAUCCAUCUGAGCCUUUGUGAAGUGUGUAUUUAUGACAGGCUCUGGGGACAGAAGUCCUCACCCACUUAGUCUUCUGCAGCAGACUCAGCCCACUAGAAGCUGCCAGGAGGUAGAGAGGUACCUAGACAGAACUGACUGCCACAGGUCCUGACCCAAACAUCAGCUCAUCGACUCAACACACUACACAGGCCUGAGUGUGGACGGAGCUGCCCAGAGACCCACAGCUCUACAAGGAGAGCGAUAAUACCCAGGGGAUCAUCCUCAAACUCUGAACCUCUGUGAAGGACACAGCACAUCACCCAGGUAGAGCUGGCACCGUGGAGCCUCCAGAUCCAGCACACUAGAUCUCCUCCGGAGCAGUGAGGCUCAAGAUCAUUCUGCCAGGCACAUUGCAGACGUGCAACAAACAUGUGCUGAAUAAAGGAAUGAACAGAGGAAGGAAGGACAUUUUGGUUCCUUGGUGUGAGCAGUAGAUGCCCAGUGCCUGAGCGUCCUAAUUUUCCUUGGGAAACCAUCCUCUCUCAUCCUCAGCCUGGUGAUGAAGACAAUCAGGUGAUGAAGUCAGUCAACAAAGCACCUCCCUCGGCCACAGGGUUUGGGGUGGGGACAGGCAGGGAACCCCAUUCAGAGCCAAGUGGGCACCCUCUCAUCCUCCACUGGAUUGGAUAUUGCAAGAACAUGGGACUGAAUCUGCUGCAGCCACUGUUAGGGAGACAACAGUGAGCUGAUCCAGACAGGGCAGAGCUGAGAGGUGGACUCCUUCUGAGGCCUAAACCAUGCUGCCCUUGAGUAAGCCCUGCCUGUGGCUGUGAGUUAUAUGACCCAAAAAACGCCCUUUUCACUUACUCUGGUUUGGGUUGUGUUUCCUGUUCCUUAUAAUUAAAGCAACCCUUAGAAUUCC